AAGUAAGAAGCAAAUAUUGCAUUUAGUUUCGACCUAAACCUUUGGUGACCAAUCACCCUUAUUUA
Molecule: transfer RNA, 65 nt
Filed under: Oryctes nasicornis
Lineage: Eukaryota; Metazoa; Arthropoda; Insecta; Coleoptera; Scarabaeidae
Description: tRNA-Arg
Source: RNAcentral